ACUCAAAGGAAUAGACGGGGGCCCGCACAAGCAGCGGAGCGUGUGGUUUAAUUCGACGCAACGCGAAGAACCUUACCUGGGCUUGACAUGCGCGUGGUACGACCUCGAAAGGGGGAGGACCCGCAAGGGAGCGCGCACAGAUGCUGCAUGGCUGUCGUCAGCUCGUGCCGUGAGGUGUUGGGUUAAGUCCCGCAACGAGCGCAACCCUCGCUGCCAGUUACCCUUUCUGGCGGGACUGCCGGGUCCAACCCGGAGGAAGGUGGGGAUGAGGUCAAGUCAGCACGGCUCUUACGUCCAGGGCUACACACACGCUAAAAUGGCCGGUACAACGGGCUGCGAUGGAGCGAUCCGGAGCGAAUCCCACCAAAGCCGGUCUCAGUUGGGAUUGCAGGCUGCAACUCGCCUGCAUGAACGCGGAGUUGCUAGUAACCGCGGGUCAGCACACCGCGGUGAAUACGUUCCCGGGCCUUGCACACACCGCCCGU
RNAcentral lists this ribosomal RNA (485 nucleotides) under uncultured bacterium. RNAcentral's name for it is "partial 16S ribosomal RNA". It matches the Rfam family "Bacterial small subunit ribosomal RNA", at positions 899 to 1397 of the family's 1533-position model. The record is from RNAcentral.